Molecule: transfer RNA, 70 nt
Filed under: Camelus bactrianus (Bactrian camel)
Lineage: Eukaryota; Metazoa; Chordata; Mammalia; Artiodactyla; Camelidae
Also listed under: 2 other names
Rfam family: tRNA
About the family: Transfer RNA (tRNA) molecules are approximately 80 nucleotides in length. Their secondary structure includes four short double-helical elements and three loops (D, anti-codon, and T loops). Further hydrogen bonds mediate the characteristic L-shaped molecular structure. tRNAs have two regions of fundamental functional importance: the anti-codon, which is responsible for specific mRNA codon recognition, and the 3' end, to which the tRNAs corresponding amino acid is attached (by aminoacyl-tRNA synthetases). tRNAs cope with the degeneracy of the genetic code in two manners: having more than one tRNA (with a specific anti-codon) for a particular amino acid; and 'wobble' base-pairing, i.e. permitting non-standard base-pairing at the 3rd anti-codon position.
Source: Rfam by way of RNAcentral
GAGGCUAUAGCUCAGUAGUAGAGUGUAUGGUUAGCAUGCAUGAGGUCCUGGGUUCAACCCCAGUACCUCU